CGGGUGAGUAACGCGUGGGUAACCUGCCUCACACCGGUGGACAACAGUUAGAAAUGACUGCUAAUACCGCAUAAGCGCACAGGACCGCAUGGUCUAGUGUGAAAAACUCCGGUGGUGUGAGAUGGACCCGCGUUUGAUUAGCUAGUUGGUGGGGUAACGGCCUACCAAGGCGACGAUCAAUAGCCGACCUGAGAGGGUGACCGGCCACAUUGGGACUGAGACACGGCCCAAACUCCUACGGGAGGCAGCAGUGGGGAAUAUUGCACAAUGGGGGAAACCCUGAUGCAGCGACGCCGCGUGAGUGAAGAAGUAUUUCGGUAUGUAAGGCUCUAUCAGCAGGGAAGAAAAUGACGGUACCUGACUAAGAAGCCCCGGCUAACUACGUGCCAGCAGCCGCGGUAAUACGUAGGGGGCAAGCGUUAUCCGGAUUUACUGGGUGUAAAGGGAGCGUAGACGGUAAAGCAAGUCUGAAGUGAAAACCCGGGGCUCAACCCCGGGACUGCUUUGGAAACUGUUUAACUAGAGUGCUGGAGAGGUAAGCGGAAUUCCUAGUGUAGCGGUGAAAUGCGUAGAUAUUAGGAGGAACACCGGUGGCGAAGGCGGCUUACUGGACAGUAACUGACGUUGAGGCUCGAAAGCGUGGGGAGCAAACAGGAUUAGAUACCCUGGUAGUC
RNAcentral lists this ribosomal RNA (674 nucleotides) under uncultured bacterium. RNAcentral's name for it is "bacterial SSU rRNA". It matches the Rfam family "Bacterial small subunit ribosomal RNA", at positions 103 to 795 of the family's 1533-position model. The record is from RNAcentral.